RNAcentral lists this ribosomal RNA (408 nucleotides) under uncultured bacterium. Its description in RNAcentral is "partial 16S ribosomal RNA". It matches the Rfam family "Bacterial small subunit ribosomal RNA", at positions 29 to 526 of the family's 1533-position model. The record is from RNAcentral.
AGUGAACGCUGGCGGCGUGCCUAAUACAUGCAAGUCGAACGAAGUGGCGCACGGGUGAGUAAUAUAUAGUUAAUCUGCCCUACACAGAGGAACAACAGCUGGAAACGACUGCUAAUACCUCAUAGUGUAGGAUGAGGCUAUAUCGUAUCAGCUAGUUGGUAAGGUAAUGGCUUACCAAAGCUAUGACGCGUAACUGGUCUGAGAUGAUGAUCAGUCGCAGUUGAAGUGAGACACGGUCCAAACUCCUACGGGAGGGAGCAGUAAGGAAUAGUGCGCAAUGGGGGAAACACUGACGCAGCUACGCCGCGUGGAGGAUGACACUUUGGGGAGCGUAAACGCCAUUUAUCAGGAAAGCGGUACCUGAUGAAUAAGCACCGGCUAACUCCGUGCCAGCCGCCGCGGUAAUUC